Molecule: ribosomal RNA, 465 nt
Filed under: uncultured bacterium
Lineage: Bacteria
Description: partial 16S ribosomal RNA
Rfam family: Bacterial small subunit ribosomal RNA
Source: RNAcentral
GACGAACGCUGGCGGCGUGCUUAACACAUGCAAGUCGAACGGAAAGGCCCUGCUUGCAGGGUACUCUAGUGGCGAACGGGUGAGUAACACGUGGGUGAUCUGCCCUGCACUUCGGGAUACGCCUGGGAAACUGGGUCUAAUACCGGGUAGGAGCCGCUUUUAGUGUGAUGGUUGGAAAGCUUUUUCGGUGUAGGAUGAGCCCGCGGCCUAUCCGCUUGUUGGUGGGGUAAUGGCCUACCAAGGCGGCGACGGGUAGCCGGCCUGAGAGGGUGGACGGCCACAUUGGGACUGAGGGACGGCCCAGACUCCUACGGGGGGCAGCAGUGGGGAGUAUUGCAAAAUGGGCGCGAGCCUGAUGCGGCGGCGGCGCGUGGGGGAUGACGGCCUUCGGGUUGUAAACUCCUUUCGCUAGUGACGAAGCUUUUUGUGACGGUACCUAGAUAAGAAGCACCGGCUAACUACGUG